Molecule: long non-coding RNA, 14460 nt
Filed under: Setaria viridis
Lineage: Eukaryota; Viridiplantae; Streptophyta; Magnoliopsida; Poales; Poaceae
Description: long non-coding RNA (SVIR_LNC009568)
Source: RNAcentral
UGUGGGUGCUAUAUCUGAUUACGGUGGGGGAGGAGGGGUAACAAGCUUGUAUAUAUAUUAUUUAGAUAAGAGAUUCGAUUACAGUAUCAAUUAAUUACAAACCACCGCAACCAAACAUAUGUAAUGAGAUUCGUUACCUUCACUAAUCAGAUUACAUUAUAUUUGAGCCAACCAAACACUACCUAUGCCGCUGCUAGCAACGCGAGGGAAGGGGAACGUGCUUUCCAGGACUGUUCCGAAUAGCAGCCUCAGUAGUCACUACGGUACGUCAGUACAGUGCUGCGUUGACUUGGUCGCCGCCGGGUCCACGUGAAUAAAUAUCUGGACUAAGAAAAUAUAAACUGUACUCCCUCCAUGAUAUUUGAGGUGCCCAGCGGGUCCAUGAUAUUUGUGCUUCAUAAAUUUUCUUUUUAUUCUCGAGAGCAUUUCCAUUUAAAAUUGCGACGCUUAUUUUAUAUUAUUAGAAAUAUUUUAUCAGCAUUGUAAAGUUCAUUACUCCCUCCAUCCCAAAAUAUAAGUUGCUUUGACUUUUUUGUACAUCCACUUUGCUAUGCAUCUAGACAUAUAUUUUAUAUCUAUAUACAUAGCAAAGUGAAUGUAUCAAAAAAAUCAAAACGACUUAUAAUUUGGGAUGGAGGGAGUAGUUGCGAAGCAGUUUUGUUGCAUUGUAAAUUUUUAAGACUAACACAAUUUUCAAGAGGCUGUAGGAUUUGCACAAAUAUCGUAAUGGGUAAGGUAUGGUGUACUUUUUACAAGCAAAGUUGAGUAUAGGGUGGUGUUGUAUUUUCUUUGUUGACAGAAGACUACACACUUUGUAGUUUGUACACACCCGGGCGUCAGCACAAGCUCUCUACUUGGUUUAUUCGCACGGCCAAUCCUUUUUUUUUCUUUUACCAACGGGACAACAUGUUAUGUAGAAUGAAAAAUUAAGCUUCUUCAUUUUCAUCCAGGUCCAGGAAUUACUUGGUUAAUUCCAGCCUUCAUUACAUUCCCGAGGGGAAAGAAAAAACUUUGGCAACUCGAGUGUUCCAUUGAUGCAAUCAUGAAUUAAUCGUGUGAUGUACACAAUUGUACUAAUGCACCUUUGUAAACAUAAUUAAGUUCAUAAAAAUGCACCAAAGGCCAUGUGUAACUGCAUUUUUCGUUGCAUGAGCAAUUGCUUCCGGAACUGUUUGGAAUGUAAAAAAAAGUCGAUACAGACCCAUUUAAACCCUGUCGGAAUUCGCCUGUCUGAAGUUAAGAAGGAUUUUACAGCGAUCAGUACAGUUGCCAUGGAAAUCCUGCUGGUUUGUCAAGCGUGAAUUAUUUUACAAUGGAGUCGUUAGUAGUACAAAUAAACUAGGCUUUUUGUCAUGUUGUAUUUGGCUCAAAAUAUGGUUUGCUCUCCCUUUCACCAGAUUCUCAGUUGGUACAUAAUCCCAGACAGAGCAACAUUGGUAGUUAUGCAACCCCUCCAACCCCAACCGUUUUGCAUCAGCCCCUCCUACCCUGACACCUUCAAGCAAGCCACCGUUCCCCUUGCUAUAUAAACACUGCCCCCACAAACCCUCUAAUCAAAUCAUCUCAAACCCCCAUCCUCUCUUGUCUCUCCAUCUCUCCGACACCCUCUUUCUCCCUCUAAACUCUCCUCUCUCUAGAACCAUCACCAGUAGUUCUCUCUCUCCGACGCACAUCGUCAACCAUGGUGAGUGGCAUGCCACUACAUGAUCAGCUUCAGCUUAGUUGCUCAAGAUUAUGUUGCUGCUGUACAGCAGUUGCUGAUCAGCAUGCAUCAUCUUUUGCAACCAUUUUAUUGACACCAUGUUUUGGAAUGUUGAUGCAGGUUGUUGAGAUGAAGGAGAACGGCGUGGCGGCGGCGGCGGACGCGGGCGAGAAGGUGGCGCAGCCGCAGCUGAACGUGAAGCGCGGCGAGCCGACGCUGGUGCCGCCGGCGGCGCCGACGCCGACUGGGGAGCAGUACUACCUCUCGAAUCUGGACCAGAACAUCGCCGUGAUCGUGCAGACGGUGUACUGCUACAAGCCCUCACCCCCCGGCGAUGGCAAGGACAAGGACGACGUGGCGACGGCGCUCCGCGACGCGCUGGCGCGCGUGCUGGUGCACUACCACCCGCUGGCGGGGCGGCUGGGGAUCAGCCCGGAGAUGAAGCUGACGGUGGAGCUCACCGCCGAGGGCGUCGUCUUCGUGGAGGGCGACGCCGACUGCGACCUCGCCGUCGUCGGCGACCUCACCAAGCCCGACCCCGCCGCGCUCGGCCAGCUCGUCUACUCCGUCCCCGGCGCCAAGCACAUCCUCGAGAUGCCCCCCAUGACCGCGCAGGUACGUUUUACUCGUACGCACGCGACGCCAUUAAUUAACUGCUCCCUUGCACGCUUCCGGUUGGGUGUCCGGCGGCCGAGGCAGCCCGGCGCGAGUUGCCACCUAUGGAGCCAUGGCGUUAAUGGCGAGAUGCCGAGAUGGGGUUGGGGACUUGGGAGAGAGAUGGAAAGGUGGCUCGUGCACGUAUCGAUGCGUGCGCGCCCGCCCGUGCCACUUUUUACUGCGGCCGCGUGAACGUUCAGGAAUGGGGUUGAAAGGUUGGCAGGGGGCAUUGGAGGUUGAGGAGAUGAAUUUAAUGAGAUGCCGGUAGCAUAGGAAACAGAACAACGGAAACGGGAAGUUUACUGGUCCAACCUUGGGACUUGGCCUAGCUUGGAGCACGGGCAAGUUUCUCGAUUUGUCUACGUGAAAUUACUACUGCGUCCAAAGAGGUGGUAACGUACUCUGGUCUUGUGAAAAGAUUGGAACGGCUAUUAGAAGCUUGUUUUAAUUCUUUUGCUUCAAAAAGAGAGAAUUUUUUUCAUUAACAUGAGUUGAGGAGGAAAGGUUAAGUUUUGUGCCGUAUUCAAGUUGAAUUAGUUUGAAUUUGUCAGUAUUUCAGUCAAGUCAGCCUGUUUAAAUGUUUUCCUGACACUUGUACUAGUGUACUUGUCUGUGCAUUACUCGUAGUACUCAUAUCCGGUCCACCACGUGCGAAUUUCCUGCAUGUGUUAGUGUUGGUUCAAAGAAUUUGUCAAUAAUUUGUUUGAUUUUCAAUGUGGGUGGUUGUAGCACAUUACCAACUAAAAGCUAUAGUGCUGUACUACAGGAUUGCAUACUCUUUGGGGGUGUUUACUGUUAAGCCUCUGUUUGGUUUUCCUGUUGGAAUGAGACAACUCCUGUUGGGAAUGUUUUUCAUUGUCAAUAGUAGUUCUGUACUUGUUUAGAUGUAUUUAAUUAAUAUUUGUUCAAAGAUUCUGUCCAUCAUUAAAAAAAGAUUUUGUGUCCAUAGUUUGGUGAUUUGUAGGUGGGGUGGUUACAGUAGGCUAGUAGAGUACCAGGUAAACGUUUGUACGUGCAACAAGAUAGCAGGAUCUACGAUAGUAGUUGCAUAAGCACUAAAUGUGUUUUUGUGAAAUGUUAGAUCACCAACCUGUACCUACAAUCAACAAACCACAGCACGUUGUCCUGCCACUGCCAUGUCCCGCACAAUGACACGAUGAUGAGUGAUGUUGUCCUCACGUGCGGGGCCAAAGCUGACGUGGAAAAUUAAUCCAUACAUGACUACUAGUUCCAUCAGCAACUCAUAUUUCAGAUCAGACUCCGCAUUAGCUUGGUUCCAAUCACGCAUAAGUAGUUCAUCCGUCAAAAGUACAAGUAGAACUAUUCAAAGUCGGCAUAGCAUAUAUCUGUUCCAAAUUUGGCUCGAAUUUGUCAGUAAUUACUCCUGCAAGUUUGUUUUCUAACCACGGGUUCGAAAUGAUUGAACCAUCCGCAGGUGACGAGGUUCAGCUGCGGCGGCUUCGCGCUGGGCCUGGCGAUGAACCACUGCAUGUUCGACGGCAUCGGCGCCAUGGAGUUCGUCAACUCGUGGGCCGAGACGGCGCGCGGCGCCGCCGAGCUCACCGUGCCGCCGUUCCUCGACCGCUCCCUCCUGAAGGCGCGCGACCCGCCGGCGCACACCUUCCCGCACCACGAGUUCGCCGAGAUCCCCGACGUCUCCGACACGGCGGCGCUCUACGGCUCCCAGGAGCUCCUCUACCGCUCCUUCUGCUUCGACCCGGACCGCCUCGAGCGCGUCCGUGCGCUGGCGCUCGCCGGCGGCGACCUGGCCCGCUGCACCACCUUCGAGGCGCUCUCGGGCCUCGUGUGGCGCGCGCGCACCAGGGCCCUGGGCCUGGCCCCCGAGCAGCGCACCAAGCUGCUCUUCGCCGUCGACGGGCGGCGCCGCUUCGUGCCACCGCUGCCCCGUGGCUACUUCGGGAACGGCAUCGUGCUGACGAACGCGAUCGCCACCGCCGGCGAGCUGCUGUCGGCGCCGGUGUCGCGCGCGGCGGCGCUGGUGCAGGACGCGGUCCGGAUGGUCACCGACGAGUACAUGCGGUCGGCGGUGGACUACUUCGAGGCGACGAGGGCGCGGCCGUCGCUGGCGUCGACGCUGCUCAUCACCACGUGGUCCAGGCUCGAGUUCCACGGCGCCGAUUUCGGGUGGGGCGAGCCCGUCAUGUCGGGCCCCGUCACGCUGCCGGAGAAGGAGGUCAUCCUCUUCCUCGCCCACGGCAAGGAGAGGAAGAGCAUCAACGUCCUGCUCGGCCUGCCGGCCACCGCCAUGGACGCCUUCCAAGAGCUCAUGGACGAGAUAUGAUGGAUUCUGCCGGUGAUGACGACGAGCUCCGUGGCCGCGGCGGGAACGGCGGUUGGGACAGCGACAGACAUGGGUGCUAUACAUACAUACAUAUAUAUAAAUGCAGGGUGCUUUUAUGCUUAAGUUGCUCGGGGUUUAUAGUAUGGUUGUGUUGAUUAUGGUGCGUGUGUGUUGAUAUGCAAUCUAUGUUGGUGUUUACUGGAUAUAUGAGAAUUCAUUAUCAGCUGUAAUGGUUUUUGUUUAAUGAAAAAUAGCAGCUGCCGUUGCUUUAAUUUGCAAAAACUUCCGUCCAACGAAAAUUAGGCUAAUUGUUUUUCAAUGGUUUUUCUUGUACAUCUGUGUCUUUCUGCAACAGCCCAAAUACCACAAGCAUGACACGGAUCAUGUCAUGCCGAAGAAAAAAAAACGUGUUGGCAGCCGGCACCGAAUUCUGGACCUAUUUGGUUUCACAUGCUUAUGCAUAAGCAACUUAAAAUAAACAAAUAAGUUGCUUAUGAAACCAAUAACUCUUACUUAUGGGGUUGCUUAUUAUCAGCAAAUAAGGGCCUGUUUAGUUUCACAUGCUUAUGCAUAAGCAACUUAAAAUAAGCAAAUAAGUUGCUUAUAAAACCAAUCACUCUUGCUUAUGGGGUGCUUAUUAUAAGCAAAUAAGCGACUCUUGGGUUGCUUAUGGUUGCUUAUGGGGACUAUUCAAUACACUUUACACCUCUUGCGCUCAUUGAAUGCUUGUUUGCCCUCCCUCCCUCUCUCUCAAUGAUUAAGGGCAAAUAUGACAAUAUCCACCUCAUUCAAUACUUAUAAGCAAGGGUAUCUAAAUAGCUGAACUAAAAAUAAGCAACUCCAAAUAAGCAACUUUAAGUUCCUUAUAAUAAGCAACUCAAACCAAACAGACCCUAAGCAACUCUUGGGUUGCUUAUGGUUGCUUAUGGGGACUAAAAGAUGCACUUUACACCUCUUGCCCUCAUUGAAUGCCUGGUUGCCCUCCCUCUCUCUCUCAAUGAUUAGGGGCAAACAUGACAAUAUCCACCUCAUUCAAUGCUUAUAAGCAAGGGUAUCCAAACAGCUGAACUACAAAUAAGUAACUCCAAAUAAGCAACUUCAAGUUGCUUAUAAUAAGUAACUCAAACCAAACAGGCUCUCUGUAUCACUUUCCCAAGGCCCCAAUAUGAGAUGACUGAGGGGUCGUUUGGAUCACGCAUUAUGUGAAAAUCAGAUUUCAGAAAACUCAUUUUAAGCCAACAACCCUAAAAACGUUGUUGUUUGGAUAGACCAACAAACUCGCAUGCAGAGAAAAUUGGAUUCCCACGAAACCUGAAUUUUAAGUUUUACCAAAAAACGAGUACUUGUUGUUUUUAACAAAAACUAGUUUUCCGUAUCCUCAUCUUGACAAGUUUUUUCCGGCCUCACGUUCGGAGUACAAUGAUAGAAUCACCAUUAUUUGUGAAAGCUUCAGUUUAUUUGGCGCAGCCAAACACGGCAUUACUAACAAACGUUUCCAAUUUUUUUACCUAAACAAUGUUUAGAAUUCUAAAAAACAAAGGCUAACCGAAUAACAACUUAAAACCAGUUUUCCCAAAAAGCCUCUUAAAACCUGUUUUAGUAACACUAGUUCUAUUUUUUAAGAUCCAAACAACCACGGAGAGAGCAGAGGAGUACUCUGUUUCCUCUGCUACAUCUGUGUCAAAACUCAAAACAGAGCAUGCACAUCUGAAAAACAGGAGCCAGAAAUCAGAGCAUGCACAUCUUGAAAACAGGGAGCCGGAAAACAGAACACUCGUCUUGGUUCGUCGUGCCGCUGCCCCGCUCCUCGUCGUAGUGUUUGUCCUCCGACUCUCGACGUUUGAGCGAAGCAGAUCAGCAAGCAGCUUAACAUGGCAGCGGCAAUGUCGGCAACGUGCUCAGCAGCAGGCAUAGCCGCCGUGCUGUUGGCACCGGUCCUGUUCAUGCCGCUGUUUUCGGCCGGCUUCCACAACGUGCAGAACCAGGACAACUUCAUCGUCGCCAUGUAUGGCUGCUUCAAUCGCUUGAGGGAUGCUCCCAGGGUGUUCGAUGAAAUUAGAAAGGAGCGGAGGCGCGCCAGGGGGGCCUGGCCACGUCGCCCCGUCGCCGCGCGCCGCGCGAUCGCCAGCGGACGGCGCCGAUGCACCUAUGCCUUUCCUGGACCGGUUGCGACCUCCAUCGGUCAGGUCCCGCUCCCACCCCCGGCGCCGCCGUCGCGUCAAUGCUCGGUCGUCACCGGAAAAUCGACGUCGCCUUUCCCACGGCUCCAUGCCUCUGUCUGCGGCGUCGUACCCUGCGGCGACGUGCGGGGUCUGGAUAGCGGUAUGGGUGGGUGCUAUUAGGUGGCUAGCGUGUCGCAGAUGACAACCGAGGACGGUGCUUGGGUUUUCUUUUCUCAUCCAUCAGCCCCCGGAAGUAACCAAAGAGAUUGGAAGGGAUGGGGAGCUCUCACCCGCGUGCCCCUGCUUGGCGGCGACGUGGAAGAAGACGUCAAGGUCGAGGCGGGAGCGGACGGUGGUGGCCUCGAGGUCAUAGAGCGGGAGGAAGCGGCGGAUGAUCUCCUCGCCCCCGGCCUCCACGGCCACGUACAGCGUGGUCUCCCUAGCGUCCGUCUGCGCGCCGGCGAGCGCGGCCAGGGAGGUGCCUGAGGCUUCGGCGUCGGCCAGGAGCGCGCGGACGGCGGCCGCGUCGGCGAAUCGGGCCGUGGCGAAGAGUGCAGUGGCAGAGCGGCGAAUCGGGCCGCUGUCACUCUGCUUCCUGAUGCCUUGAUUUAUUGGUGGUGGUGGACUCGGUUUGCUUUACAUGAGUGCUCUGCUUCGUAUUCCUUUUCUCCGUGGGAUUAUCACCAAGUGGGGCAGAAAGCGAGACGGCGAGGAGCCUUUUGAACGGACGCCCGAUUGACGCGCAUCGUGAGGCAAUGGAUUUGCUGUGCGUUGCCCGGGCGGAGAGACUGGGCCCGCGGCGACGGCACACAGUCGGCCCCGAUGUGCUGACUAUAGAUGAUGGACCGCUCGGCACUAGCCUAAUUUGGUCCCGGCUCGACUAGGCCCGACACAAUUAGGCUGAGGGUUUUUUCAUGCCGGGUCGGACCGGCAAAACGUGACGAACUGCUGACCUAGGCUCGACACUAUGGCCUUUGUAUCGUGCUAGGCCGGCCCGCUAGCACGGUUGGCACUACUGUGCUAGUGCCGGCCCAAGCACUAGCAGCGGCGGCUGUGCCCUCCCCCUCCCCCGACGGCGGCAGUUGGUGCACUUCCUUGCCGACGCGGGGAAGGCCAGAAGGGGCGGCGCCUGGCGAGGAGUGAGGGCGGCUCGCGAUGCUAGGGUGAGGAGGGGCGGCUGGCAAACGUCGCGGGGAGGGAAGGAGCAAGAAGUAGGCGGCGCCUGGGAAUGAGUGAGGGUGGCUGGCGGCGCGGCGGGUGAGGAUCGGCGGCCGACAGUGGCCGGCACACUUCCUUGCCGUCGUGGGGAGAAGAGGGGAGCAAGAAGGGGUAGCACUUGGGGAGGAGUGAGGGCGGCCUAGCGGCUGGCAAUGCCGUGCUUGGGGAGGACUGGAGGAGCAAGGCCGAAGGGGUGGCCGGUGCUGUGGGCGGGGAGUAGCCGCCGCCGAGUGAGGGAAAUGAGAAGAGAAUGGAGAGAGUUAGGGUUUGGGAGAAAGCAUGCCUUUAACAUGCCGGUGGGAUAGAGGAGGGGGAAGCAGACCUUUAACAAGCCGGUUAGUAGUCUAAGGCCUGCUAAGUUAACGGACCACCAUCAUGCCGGACAAAAAUCGUGCCGGGCUUGGGACAACACUACGGGCCGGGGAGGUGGCCUAGGGGUACCGGGCCAGCCCGGGCACUACCCAUACUUAACGGACCACCAUCAUGCCGGACAAAAAUCGUGCCGGGCUUGGGACAACACUACGGGCCGGGGAGGUGGCCUAGGGGUACCGGGCCAGCCCGGGCACUAUCCACUAUGGGUUGGGCCAUGCUAGUGUCGUGCUACGGGCCGCACAGCGGAUCUGGCCCAUUUGGGCAUCUAUAGUGCUGACAACGUAUGGUGAGGGCUAGCGCCUCUUUCUACUCCUCCGCCCCGGCCUCCGGCCAUCCUCGAUGCCUGGUGUCACCGCUCGUCGAGGAACCAAGAUGGUGUUACCGCCAGCGCUGCGAAAGGCGCACGUGGGUGCGACGAAGAAGACAUGGACUUGCAAGCGUGGGCAUCUCCCUCACGCACCCGUGCAACCUCCCAUGGUGCAGAGCUCGCCGGCGAGUGACCCAGCAGGCAUAGUGGAUGACGAUAUGGACGACGCCCAGAAGGUGCUCGAGGAAUUGCCUCCAAGGUAAGAUGAUCACUGAAUAGUUAGUUUUUUCAGUUUUAGCAAGUAGCAACUGACGUUUGCUCCGUCCGUUUUCUGCUCGCAGAGAAGAUCCUUCAUGAAUCCAUGUUCUUGCUGUUACAAAUUGCCAUGGAUUUGUGACUCACCAAAGAGCGGCACCUGACAAGGAUGUAUUGCACGGGGUGUGCUGCGCCACGGAUAGAAACAAAAGCGAAUUCUUUGGGGGCAACAGUUCGUUUGUGCUGUUGCCGGAGAAGCAUGUACAACAUUCCUUUCUAUUACUUUCUGAUUAUCAGAUUGAGUGACAAGAAAACUACUGUCAAUGUCCUGUGUUAUGUCCUUGCUGCUAUUGGAUGCAUGUUCUUCAGCCAUGGCUCGAGAUGAUGCGAUCUCCACUUCAUGUUGCUCAUUGUUCUCAACUGCCAUCCUGAAAAAUCAACAACAACCAAGCUAUAUUUAAGGCCAGUACAUAGUUUUGAAAAUAGAGGUAAUGCUCGCCUACUGCUACUGCCUCUUGCCAGCUUAUCUGCUACCAUACAAAGUCAUUUUAUUGAGAAGGCCAUUCUUAUGUUCUGAGAUUAUGUGUUGGAAUACAAAUCAUGAAGGAAGUAGUGAUUAUCAACAAGUACUAAAUGAAAUUUUCUGGAUUGGCAUAUUAAGAAUUGAAGGUAAACAGGAAUAAUCUGCUUGCCUGACAAGCACUUCAACUUCAGCGAAGUGUUUUUUGCUGAGAUCGUUUACAGCCGCAUGUGACUUCUUCCAUUGCUGAACAGCAGAGUCAACAGUAAACGCGCUGGGUACGUCAAAGUGCAGAAGAUUGUUCAGAUAAUCCAAUUUUCAAUGGAUGAAAGAAUGAACAAAAAGGUCCAUGUGAUUGUUCAGACAUACCACUCCUGCAACAUGGUUUCCAUGCGACACUGCUUAGCUGCAGAAGAGCUGGAGCCAACUUUGCAGUCAUUCUCCGCCUGCUCUGCAAAUAUCUCCCACUUCCUCUUGGCAUCUUUUGUGACGCACUCCAUGGCUGAUGUGUGUUCAUCUAAAAAAGGCUACUCAUGCAUCCCCCCUUCUUGGUGCUGCAGGUAUUACCCAAGAGAUCAGCACAAUUCCUGUAUGUUUUGGCUUCUGCAAUAAUAGAGAAGAAGGUGCUGGCCCUUUUGACCUUCAUUGUGGAAAUAUUAUUGAAAUUUGGAUGGCACAAAAUGAUCUAACAUAUGUAAGAAACUGUUGUAUACUAAACUUUUAUAGUCCUUAGCAUUCUUGCAAAUAUAUGAAUUAUAGUUGUAGAUAUGCAUAACUAUCAAUAUGUGACUUGCAAUAGUUGGUCAAUUGCUCGGUUAAUUUGUAGCCUAGUCUAGCAAGAACAGCUCUGUCUUUCAUUAAGCUUUACAGUAUCGUACUACCAUGUAAUUUAUGGAGAAGGGGGCAUACCGUUGACGAAGUUAGUUCCCACAUCAGUAACAAUUCUGUUUACACAUUCCCCCCUUGAGAACCAAUAGAUCGACUUUGAGUCCUAGAAUCUUCUCCGCUCAUUUAAUUAAAUGUGUAACUAUAUUAGAUUUUCAAUUUCCAGUGUCACUGAUGCCAUAUAUGAUCUGCAUAAACUAGGGGUGCACAUUCAGAACGAAAUUGCUCUUGCUGCUUAUUUACAAAUUAAAAAAGCAAGUGAACAUGUUAAAUUCAGGUUAGUAGCUAGGGUGAAGUAAUUUGAUAUUUCUUCCACUAUUGGUUAUAUAUCUCCUGCAGCUAAGAUGUUCAAUGAUUUUGCCUUUAGCAAAGAGCUAUGAUGAUUAAACAAAAGGCUUUUUGUUUGGUAUGGAAUAAAAUCAUGAUAACUUGGAUCCAACCUACUAAAUAGCGGCCGCAAUACCGGUAGCGGCCUAUUGCCGCUAUCGCUACUAGGUAGCGGUUGGGCUGUUGCGGUUUGGAACUUUGCGGCCGCAAUUGCGCUAUAGCGGGCCGCAAUUGCGGUGGUAGCAAGCCGCAAUAGCGUGGAACAAAAAAAAAUCCUAAUAACCUAGCCCACCCACACAGACUCCACCGGUGCACCCCAUCGGCCAUUCGGCCUCGCCAUCUAGAACACGCCGCCACCCGUGUUAGUUGCCUGCCGCCACCGCCCUUCGCCGGCACCGCCGAUUCACAUGUAGUCUGGUACUCGAGCUCCUCCUGAUCCUCAUGGACCUUCGCCGUGUUACAUUCUUAAUUUAAGCAUGUGAGACAUCAGUUGUUUGUAUGCAAUUAAAUAUAUAUUUAUACUUAUUAUUCAUGAUAUAUAUAAUUUAAAUUAUGUGAGAUUAUUAGGUGCCACUAUUGGAACUUAUCGUCCACAAUAUCGCCCGCUAUCUGCAAUCCGCUACCUCGACGUCAAUCCGCUACCAACCCGCUAUUCGCUAUUUAUUACCUUGCUUGGAUCUAUUAAUAAUAUUUGAUCCAUAUUGUUUGUUAGUUUCUGUAUGUGGCAUCUUUUAUUAUCACCUUUUUAGUAGAGUAUAUUUUAAUUUACUUUUAGCAUAUGUCUAGAAAAAUAUUUACACUGCUCCCUUCAAAAAGAGUUUGCAUGCUUGAUAACUUAUUUUGGUUGGACUUCGAGCUGCCUCUGAUAUGACCUGAAUUUUUAGGAUGUCCAAUAAUAAAUCUAAUGUGGACAAACAAAGUAUCUAUUUAGUUUAUACUUUAUAUGUAUCAUGCAAUUGCUCUUUUCAUGUAUUUUAUUAAAACACUGAAAAAGGUUAAGGGAAAGUCAGGUGCACACCAUAUUCAGUUUAGAUAGCAAUAAGUGGUUUAAUCAUGGCUUACUUUUUUUAACGGAGCUGUGUUUCUUGCUCUUACUUAGCAAGAAGAAAAUACAGAGGCAUAUAUAAAGAUAAUCCAUAUAAAGGUGCCAUGCAGGUGUAGAUGACUGCAAGCAAAUAAACGGAUAUGCCAAUUUGCUGGUAUUGUUUGAUGGAAAUCACACCUAACAAAUAAGGCAAGGCAGAGAAAUGAUUUUUUAAAUUUCACUUAAAGCGAUCUAAUAAAGCUGGGCCAUGGGCAUACACAAACAUUCAUAAUAGUGUUAUUCAAAACUAAACACUUUUUCUAUCCUAAGGGUACAGUUCAAUUUGAAGAUGGAAAAUACACUUUGAUGCUAGGAAAGCCAAAUCUAAAGUACUAUUGUUGAAGAUGGCCGAGAUAACUAGAAACCUUUGUUUCUACCAAGAUUCUUUACCAGAUUGAAAUUUCCAUGCGAAAGAGGUAAUGUUCUAUUUUUUUCAUUGUAGGCAUGGCUUUUCCUUCCUAGAAUCUCAUAACACGGAAAUAUUAUAUUUGACUUAAAUAUAGUAUGCAUAUGUUCAUAAUGGAGAAACAUUAUAGUACAUUGAAAAUUUCUUCCUAUGUUUGAUAAAAUAUCAUUGCUCAGCAGGUGUGCCUUCCCGGGAAUCAUUUUGGAGAACAAUUAUUUCAAGGAAUUGUGUGUUGGAUGAAAAAAAAAAUGCUCAUAAAAUAUUGGUUGCUAGAUGAAAAUUUCUGAAACAAUUCAGUCUCUCCUUUUCCCUCAUAUGUUUGCUAGAUCCCGUGAUUAAAUUAACGAAAGCUCCAUUAUGUUGCUUCAGACAACCUUUCUUUUCACAUUGCUUUGUGUGGUUUGCAAUUUCUAUACGUGUGCCUCCUAUACCAGUUGGAUUUCUGCUGACAAACUUACCCAUGUAUUACUUCUUUCUAACAGCGACUACAAGGUUUGUCAGAUGGUUCCUUGACAAUGGGUAUCCACACCACCAUCUGAACUGAAGCUGUGUGAAGAAAUACAUCAGUUGUACAAUGGGUAUGUGAAUAGGCUGUUUAACUAAAUUUUAUAGUUUUGUGGUUCAAAUGUAUGAUGUUUUGAUUUAAGCAUAAGGACUCUUAUUUUCCAGUAUAUAUAAAUCAUCUUGCAGCAAGUGUUGAACUGCAGCAAGUGUUGAACUGUUGAUACGUUUAUUCCUAGCUGUAGUGCACUAGAGAAAAAUGGUUAUAAAAAUUUAGUAUGUAGUUUUGCAAAGCAGGUGCUUCUGUUACUUUUUACACUGUCUGCCCAGCCCAAUCGCUGCAAGACACAAUGCCUUGGAUCUGAUGUGCUUAUGAUAUAUGCAUUUUCCUUCUCCUUUUCAACAACCAUAUGUGCACUGAUGUUAAUUUAUUAUGUAGUAUUAGCUUUUUAUCGCCCAUAUAAGAUGAUCCUUUGGUAUUCUCAUUUUGAGACCACAAACCGAAGCUGAUCUACAUAAGAAAGGGUGGAACAACACGCUAAAGAAUGCAUGUGUAGACCAGAAUGCCAAGAAUUACAAUUUUCAGUAGUAAUUAUGAGUUGAUGACUCAAAGGGUAGCUAUAUAUGGGAAUGAGAACAAAGCUGAGAAGAAGCUCUACAUAUAGAUAGGGGGAGUGUACUCAAGAAAUGUGUACUGAAUUCUAUUUAUUUCUUAUAUAAUACAGUUUGUGAAAUUUAGGUUUCUUAGAUGAUUUUAGGAAGGCGAACCUACUGCAAAUGAAUUUCAUAACAUAUUGGGAUGCCCGAUUCAGUGAAUUGCUAUCUGAUCUUUAUCUUUUCCUUUGAAAAAUAUUUAGCACAUGGCCUUCAUAAAAUCAACUUUUGGAGAUUUUUCUUCCCUAAUCACCAGCUACCUUUCGUGACACGCAUAAUGAUCAGGCGCAUUCAUCAAAUAACGACGGUGCGCGGGUGCGCGCCCCAGCCACUAGUUCUCAUUGGGAAUGCCCGGUGACUAGAGCUCACGGUUCUCCCACGACGUGCGCUGCGCUCUGAUCAUCCUCCCACUGCCCACCUCCGCCUACCGCGAUAGCGCCGACGUCCUAGCGCUGGGAUGCGCCGUCCUCGCACAUGCACAUAGUGCAAGGGCCCCUCGGGCUCCCCUCUCCCUCCACACCCUGUCUUCCUCAGUAUCUCCGGGCGACCACUGACUUUAGGUACGUGUCCUGCUGCAAAUUGCCAUGCCAUAUGGGGUCUUCCGGGGUGUCUAGAAAGUAGAAACGGAGCAUUCGUGUUACACUGUUGACACUUACAUGCAGAUCAGGAGAAGGAACUUCCGGAGUGCUUACGCAGUUGCACUUCUACAGCAGUAAUAAACAAGAUUUGCGUACACAAGAAUUCUACUGCACAUGAACUGCGAGCUCUGAUCUCAUAAUUUUUUUUAAAAAAAGAACUCACAAUGACAAUCUACCGUUAAUUUAUGACUGGGACAAGUGUCCUCUAAACGUCUAUUUCCUCGCAUCGCGAUGUCUAGGAUGACGUGGAAAAAGCAGGACACGUCCAUUCAUUUAAACCAUAGUGCUAAUGAGGUGGCUCAUUUGUUGGCUAGGGAGGGUGAGCUCAUUGCUUACUCAAUCUUCCGACAUUAUAUUCCUGGUUGCAUCCACGAUGUUGUAAACUCUGAAAGUUUGUGUUAAUGAAUGGGCUGACCUUGAUCUCAAAAAGAAAAAGUAAGCUGUUCCUCCCACCUUUAAAAAUAAAAAAA